Molecule: ribosomal RNA, 196 nt
Filed under: uncultured Vibrionaceae bacterium
Lineage: Bacteria; Pseudomonadati; Pseudomonadota; Gammaproteobacteria; Vibrionales; Vibrionaceae
Description: partial 16S ribosomal RNA
Rfam family: Bacterial small subunit ribosomal RNA
Source: RNAcentral
UCCUACGGGAGGCAGCAGUGGGGAAUAUUGCACAAUGGGCGCAAGCCUGAUGCAGCCAUGCCGCGUGUAUGAAGAAGGCCUUCGGGUUGUAAAGUACUUUCAGCAGUGAGGAAGGGGUGAUGUUUAAUAGACACCAUUCUUGGCGUUAGCUGCAGAAGAAGCACCGGCUAACUCCGUGCCAGCAGCCGCGGUAAUA